This 200-nucleotide long non-coding RNA is filed under the name Lathyrus oleraceus (garden pea). RNAcentral describes it as "Pisum sativum (pea) long non-coding RNA (PSAT_LNC038720)". Lineage: Eukaryota; Viridiplantae; Streptophyta; Magnoliopsida; Fabales; Fabaceae. The record is from RNAcentral.
GGAUCUCGCUGGAAUAGUUAAAAGGUUGGAGAGGUUACGGUGUUGUUGUUGGUGUGUUGGAAGGUUUCACGCAUGAGGGAGUUUGAGCAUCAUUUUCCUAGGAGUUAUGGAGGAGUCGUCACAAAACAAAAUAGGAUGGAGAAAUGUUGCUAUUUACAUGGCGAUGAGAGGUUUAUGAUAUGUUUGAUGAUCGAAGUUCA